RNAcentral lists this ribosomal RNA (450 nucleotides) under uncultured bacterium. RNAcentral's name for it is "partial 16S ribosomal RNA". It matches the Rfam family "Bacterial small subunit ribosomal RNA", at positions 354 to 796 of the family's 1533-position model. The record is from RNAcentral.
GUGGGGAAUUUUGGACAAUGGGGGCAACCCUGAUCCAGCCAUUCCGCGUGAGUGAAGAAGGCCUUCGGGUUGUAAAGCUCUUUCGGCAGGAACGAAACGGUGAGCUCUAACAUAGCUCGCUAAUGACGGUACCUGAAGAAGAAGCACCGGCUAACUACGUGCCAGCAGCCGCGGUAAUACGUAGGGUGCGAGCGUUAAUCGGAAUUACUGGGCGUAAAGCGUGCGCAGGCGGUUUUGUAAGAUCGAUGUGAAAUCCCCGGGCUCAACCUGGGAACUGCAUUGGUGACUGCAAGGCUGGAGUGCGGCAGAGGGGGAUGGAAUUCCGCGUGUAGCAGUGAAAUGCGUAGAUAUGCGGAGGAACACCGAUGGCGAAGGCAAUCCCCUGGGCCUGCACUGACGCUCAUGCACGAAAGCGUGGGGAGCAAACAGGAUUAGAAACCCCAGUAGUCC